CCUCCCAUCAAGCACCACCUCCCAUCAAACACCACCUCCCUACGCUAUUGCAUUGGGGAUUCAGCUCCCAACACAUGAAUUUGGAGGGAACAAAAACACUCAAACCACAACAUUAAGGAUGGCUGAGCAGAAAGACAAAUGAGGUCAGAUCCCUAACAGCACUGAGGAGCUAAUGACCAGCCUGGGGCUUUCUUCUCCUAGGAUUUUUGUUACAUGAGGAGCAUAAACCUGUUUACUUGUCCAGUCUGGUGGUGGUGAGAAGAUACCGCACUGAAGUUUUAGAUGUACUCUUUUUAAAGAAAAGAUUGUGUGAGAUGGCUCUUACUGUCAGUGGUACUACUACUACCUCAUCUAUAUGGUACUGAAGAAACCAAGUUAAUUUAAAUUUCUUAAAUAGCUCUCCACUACUUUGAGGUUGUGCUAAAACUCUAUACACUUCAUGUUACGAUGACCACAUAAAUUGCCUUUUCUCUUGAAGAAUGGAUGGAUAUAAAUAAGCAGAUUGGCCAUUUUGGCACAUUAUCAGCAGCUAAGCCAGGAUGGUCAGGAGAAGCUUCUUGGAAGAGGCAAUGUUUGAACCCCAUCUUGAAGGUUGAAUCAGGCAGUGUGUCGGGGAAUGUAAUUCUAGAGAGGACAGCACAAAGGAAGGACUAAAUCUGGAAAAAAAUGGGAGCAGCAGAAGCUCAGUGUGACUGAAGUGAUUGCACCUGGUGGUUGUCAUAACAUAUGAAUAACAAAUGUUUGUUUAAUGAAUGACAGUGAACAAAUAAAUGUAUUAAUAUGGGAUAUUUGGCAAUAGGAGCAAAUGUAAAGACUUACAGGGAUUUUUAAUAAUAAUAAUGAUAAUAAAAUAUUCAAUGUCUCUUUUUGCUCAACUGGUUUAAGCAAAGAGUUGAUUCUGGAAAGCAAAAUACAUUCUGUUCAAUCCCAGUGUUAACAUAAUUUUAAGAGAUGCUUCAGGCUUAUGCAGAGUUCACUUCCUUUCAUUGUAACACUUACUCAGUGGGACGUCAGGAAACUGAUUAAAGCAUUUGACUCAC
Molecule: long non-coding RNA, 1040 nt
Organism: Callithrix jacchus (white-tufted-ear marmoset)
Lineage: Eukaryota; Metazoa; Chordata; Mammalia; Primates; Cebidae
Source: RefSeq, a predicted model, not a curated record